RNAcentral lists this long non-coding RNA (1056 nucleotides) under Calidris pugnax (ruff). RNAcentral describes it as "lncRNA (ENSCPUG00000009222.1)". The record is from RNAcentral. Lineage: Eukaryota; Metazoa; Chordata; Aves; Charadriiformes; Scolopacidae.
AUGCGUCGCCUCAGCCGUGUCCCCAAAGGUCUGCCCAUCCCGCUGCUGUCCUCCUCUUUGCCCCUCUGGGCUGUUCCCUUCUCCUGGCAUUCAUUACCUGUAACAACAGUACCCGUCCUCAGCGCCCCGCAGUCCUGGCGUUACUCGGCUGCUUUGUCCCUGCCCCACAGGGGCUCUGCAGCCCCCCAGAGGUCCACCAGCCCCCUCUCCCCUCCACCUCGGGCCCUUCCCGUGGGCUCCCCGAGCACCGCGGUGGGGAGGGAGGCAGUGAGUGGCCCUUCAGCCUGCAGGGGUGGGAGGUGGGAUGGGUGGGUGGAUGGGUGGGUGGAUGGAUGGAUGGAGAGCAGGAUGGAGGGGGAAGGGAGCCCAUGGUAUGUGAGGAAUGUGCCCGGAGCAGAUAACCCCUUCCCGCUGGGUGCUGGGUGCCUGCAGAGCCCUCCCCGGGGAGGUGGCCGGGGGCUGCUGUUGUGCAGCGAAAUGGAGGGUGGGCAGGGAUCCCUGGGAGGGUGGGCAGGGAUCCCCAUCUCCCCGGGAGCCGGGCUGGGGGGUCAGGGGAUGUGCAGGGAGCCCCAUCACCCCCAGACUGGGGGCGGGGGACGGGGGUGCGCAGGGACCCAGGCUGGGGAGGGCCAGGGCAGCCCUGCCAGAGCAGGAGGGGAUGCCUGGGGGGGGAGGUGGGCCAUGGUUAAGAUCUGCCCAAAAUGCCAAGGCACCUGCCUCUGUGUCCCCCCCGGGACUGAGGGCAGUGGGGAGACGCUGCAUGCUGGGCUUGGCAUCUCCCCCUGCACCUGGGGCACAAAGGGGAUGAGCAGGUUUGGGGGUUUGGUGGCCGAGGGUGCAGACAGGGAGCCCUGGGAGCCCCCAGGUACCUCUGGAAGCAGAGAGGGAGCCUGCAGCCGCGGGGACAGCCCUGUGGAAGGGGUGCCAGUGGGCACUGCCCGCUCUUGUGACUUCCCAGGGGACUCAUUAGAGCCUGAGUCUUGCCUGUCCCCAUGUCCCACCCUGCGACAGCCUUAUCUCGCUGUUGCCAAACUGUGUGACAGUCAGGGAAACUGA